AGUAGAUGGAUACAGGAGAACCAAUACACGUCAAAUAGGUCGAGUACGGUAAACGGGACCGCUGAUGAGACGCAUUCCCUACAGAGGCAUGGGAGAUGGGACGCGGGACAAUGUUCGCCGCCAUGUUGAAAGUUGAAAGAAGCCGAGCUUUAGUUUGGUACACAAAGGUGCUCAAAAACCUCCAACCAGCUCCAACACAUUGUUUACAUGUAAUGCUGCUUAAUUUUUAUUACAAAUAUUUAUAAUAUUUUUUAAAUAUCUGGUAUUUGACAGUUUGAAUUUAAGUCGACUACAUGCACGUCCACGUUGUAUCGCCGGUAUCGCCAUCGCCAUCGUAACAAAACAUACAAAAAAACUGAGGUACUUUCGAGAGUUGGCCGAACUAAAGUGAACUUUAGCCGUACGCCGUACUUUCGAGCUUUCGAAAACCCCACUGCCGAAGAACGUUUUUGAAAAGAGUCACCCGUGUACCGGCGUGCCGUGCCCAUCGAACCAACCGUGAAGUUAAUCGGCAGCGUGUAUCAAAAAAGGAACGUGUGGUGGCUCUUCGUCGCACACGUGCUCCGUGCGUUGAAUGAACCUCGAGCUUUCGGCAAGGAAGUCCUGCAGAGGCAAAGGUCCCACCAGAGGCAGCGAGGGCCGAGCGAGGCAUUUGGUGUGAUGCCGCUGGUUAAAAUAUGGAGCGCAGACCUCUCGGUGCGAAAAGUAGGAAAUGUGAGAACGAUGAGCGACGUUCUAACACUUGCUAAAGAAAAAGACGUAUG
Ixodes scapularis (black-legged tick) is the source of this 764-nucleotide long non-coding RNA. RefSeq lists it as uncharacterized. Lineage: Eukaryota; Metazoa; Arthropoda; Arachnida; Ixodida; Ixodidae. The record is from RefSeq and is a predicted model, not a curated record. The transcript is spliced from 3 exons.